ACAAGUAUAAUAUAGUGGUUAUUAUCUCCGCCUUCCAAGUGGAUCACCUGGGUUCGAAUCCCAGUACUUGUA
Transfer RNA from Cryptococcus amylolentus CBS 6039, 72 nucleotides. It matches the Rfam family "tRNA". Rfam says of the family: Transfer RNA (tRNA) molecules are approximately 80 nucleotides in length. Their secondary structure includes four short double-helical elements and three loops (D, anti-codon, and T loops). Further hydrogen bonds mediate the characteristic L-shaped molecular structure. tRNAs have two regions of fundamental functional importance: the anti-codon, which is responsible for specific mRNA codon recognition, and the 3' end, to which the tRNAs corresponding amino acid is attached (by aminoacyl-tRNA synthetases). tRNAs cope with the degeneracy of the genetic code in two manners: having more than one tRNA (with a specific anti-codon) for a particular amino acid; and 'wobble' base-pairing, i.e. permitting non-standard base-pairing at the 3rd anti-codon position. Lineage: Eukaryota; Fungi; Basidiomycota; Tremellomycetes; Tremellales; Cryptococcaceae. The record is from Rfam.